UAGCGGCAGGCCUUAACCCAUCCAAUUGGAGGGGCCGCCCCAUGUUGGUAGCAAUACUGAUGGUGGCGACCGGCGCACGGGUGAGUAACACGUAUGCAACCUACCUUUAUCCAGGGGAGAUAACCCGUUGAAAGACGGGAUUAAUAUUUCCAUAACACAUUUUUUUCCGCAUGGUAAAAUAUUUUAAAGAUUUAUUUUGGUAUAAGAUGGGCAUGCGCUCCAUUAGCUAGUUGGUUGAGGUAACGGCUCACCAAGGCAACGAUGGAUAGGGGAACUGAGAGGUUUAUCCCCCACACUGGUACUGAGACACGGACCAGACUCCUACGGGAGGCAGCAGUGAGGAAUAUUGGUCAAUGGAGGCAACUCUGAACCAGCCACGUCGCGUGAAGGAUGACGGCCCUACGGGUUGUAAACUUCUUUUAUACAGGAAUAAAUUUAGUCACGUGUGAUUAAUUGCAUGUACUGUAUGAAUAAGGAUCGGCUAACUCCGUGCCAGCAGCCGCGGUAAUACGGAGGAUCCGAGCGUUAUCCGGAAUUAUUGGGUUUAAAGGGUGCGUAGGCGGCCAUUUAAGUCAGCGGUGAAAUUUUGCAGCUUAACUGUAACAGUGCCGUUGAUACUGUUUGGCUAGGAUUUGGUUGUAGUGUGCGGAAUGUGUGGUGUAGCGGUGAAAUGCUUAGAUAUCACACAGAACACCGAUUGCGAAGGCAGCACACUAAGUCAUUAUUGACGCUGAGGCACGAAAGUGUGGGGAUCAAACAGGAUUAGAUACCCUGGUAGUCCACACUGUAAACGAUGAUAACUCGCUGUCGGCGAUACACAGUCGGUGCCAAGCGAAAGCAUUA
Molecule: ribosomal RNA, 843 nt
Filed under: uncultured bacterium
Lineage: Bacteria
Description: bacterial SSU rRNA
Rfam family: Bacterial small subunit ribosomal RNA
Source: RNAcentral